This 2963-nucleotide long non-coding RNA is filed under the name Gallus gallus (chicken). RNAcentral's name for it is "lncRNA (ENSGALG00010009706.1)". Lineage: Eukaryota; Metazoa; Chordata; Aves; Galliformes; Phasianidae. The record is from RNAcentral.
UCCCAUACCCCGUUCUGCACCGAAGCGCUGCACCCAAAGCGCUGCGUUGCAGUCCUGCGCUGCAAUCCUGGGCCAAAAGCAGGUGCCAAAGUCCUGCACCAAAGCCCUGCAGCGAAGUCCCACAUGCAAAAUCCUGCAUCCAAAAUCCUGCAACCAAAGCCCUGCAGCAAAAUCCCACACCCAAAAUCCUCCGUCAAAGUCCUGCACCCAAAAUCCUGCGUCCAAAGCCCUGCAUCCAAACCCCUGCAGCAAAAUCCCACACCCGAAGUGCUGCAUCCAAAGCCCUGCAGCAAAAUCCCACACCCCAAAUCCUGCAACCAAAGCCCUGCAGCAAAAUCCCUGCAUCAAAAUCCUGCAACCAAAGUCCUACACCCAAAACCCUGCAGCCAAAAUCCCACACCCGAAGUGCUGCAUCCAAAGCCCUGCAGCAAAAUCCCACACCCAACGUCCUGCACCAAAGUGCCGCAUUCAAAGCCCUGUGCCAAAAUCAGGUGCCAAAGCCCUGCACCAAAGUCCUGCACCGAAGUCCUGCACCACAGUCCUGCACCCAAAGCCCCAUACUCAGUUCUGCACCAAAGUGCUGCAGCCAAAAUCCUGCAACCAAAGCCCUGCAGCAAAAUCCCACACCCAAAUCCUGCGCCAAAGUCCUGCACCCAAAACCAUGCAUCAAAGUCCUGCACCAAAGUCCUGCACACGAAGUCCUGCACCAAAUUCCUGCACCGAAAUCCUGCACCGAAGUCCUGCACCACAGUCCUGCACCCAAAGCCCCAUACUCAGUUCUGUACCAAAGUGCUGCAGCCAAAAUCCUGCAACCAAAGCCCUGCAGCAAAAUCCCACACCCAAAAUCCUGCAACCAAAGCCCUGCAGCAAAAUCCCUGCAUCAAAAUCCUGCAACCAAAGUCCUACACCCAAAACCCUGCAGCCAAAAUCCCACACCCGAAGUGCUGCAUCCAAAGCCCUGCAGCAAAAUCCCACACCCAACGUCCUGCACCAAAGGGCCGCAUUCAAAGCCCUGUGCAAAAAUCAGGUGCCAAAGCCCUGCACCAAAGUCCUGCACCGAAGUCCUGCACCACAGUCCUGCACCCAAAGCCCCAUACUCAGUUCUGCACCAAAGUGCUGCAGCCAAAAUCCUGCAACCACAGCCCUGCAGCAAAAUCCCACACCCAAAAUCCUGCGCCAAAGUCCUGCACCCAAAACCCUGCAACCAAAGUCCUGCAACCAAAGCCCUGCAGCAAAAUCCCACGCCCAAAGUCCUGCACCAAAGGGCCGCAUUCAAAGCCCUGUGCCAAAAUCAGCUGCCAAAGCUCUGCAACAAAGUCCUGCACUGAAGUCCUGCACCAAAGUCGUGCACCCAAAGCCCCAUACUCAGUUCUGCACCAAAGUCCUGCACCCAAAACCCUGCAUCAAAAUCUUGCAACCAAAGCCCUGCGUCCAAACCCCUGCAGCAAAGUCCUGCAUCCAAAAUCCUGCAUCCAAAGCCCUGCAGCAAAAUCCCACACCCAAAGUCCUGCACCAAAGUCCUGCAACCAAAGCCCUGCAUCCAAACCCCUGCAGCAAAGUCCCACACCCAAAAACCCUGCAUCAAAAUCCUGCAACCAAAGCCCUGCGUCCAAAGCCAUGCAGCAAAAUCCCACACCCAAAGUCUUGCACCAAAGCCCUGCACCCAAAAUCCUGCACCCAAACUCUGCACCCAAAGCCCUGCACCGAACAUCCUGCAACCAAAGCCAUGCAGGAAAACCCCACAGCCAAAGUCCUGCACCAAACCAUGCAGCAAAGCUGCAGCAAAGCCCUACACCCCCAAUGCUGCACCCAAAGCACUGCACCCAAAGCCCUGCACCGAACAUCCUGCAACCAAAGCCAUGCACUGAACAUCCUGCAACCAAAGGCAUGCAGGGAAACCCCACAGCCAAAGUCCUGCACCAAACCAUGCAGCAAAGCCCUACACCCCCAAUCCUGCACCAAACAUCCUGCAACCAAAGGCAUGCAGGGAAACCCCACAGCCAAAGUCCUGCACCAAACCAUGCAACAAAGCCCUACACCCCCAAUCCUGCACCCAAAGCCCUGCACCGAACAUCCUGCAACCAAAGCCAUGCAGGAAACCCAAAGCCAAAGUCCUGCACCAAACCACACAGCAAAGCCCUACACCCCCAAUCCUGCACCCCUCAACGCUGCAUCCAAAGCCCUGCACCGAACAUCCUGCAACCAAAGCCAUGCAGGAAAAUCCCACAGCCAAAGUCCUGCACCAAACUAUGCAGCAAAGCUGCAGCAAAGCCCUGCAUCCCCAAUCCUGCACCCUCAACGCUGGAUCCAAAGCCCUGCACCGAACAUCCUGCAACCAAAGCCAUGCAGGAAACCCCCACAGCCGAAGUCCUGCACCAAACCAUGCAGCAAAGCCCUACAACCCCAAUACUGCACCCAAAGCGCUGCACCCUCAAUCCUGCACCCCAAAGCCAUGCAGGGAAACCCCACACCCAAAGUCCUGCACCAAACCAUGCAGCAAAGCCCUACACCCCCAAUCCUGCACCCUCAAAGCUGCAUCCAAAGCCCUGCACCGAACAUCCUGCAACCAAAGCCAUGCAGGGAAACCCCACAGCCAAAGUCCUGCACCAAACCAUGCAGCAAAGCCCUACACCCCCAAUCCUGCACCCUCAAUGCUGCACCCAAAGCCCUGCACUGAACAUCCUGCAACCAAAGCCAUGCAGGGAAACCCCACAGCCAAAGUCCUGCACCAAACCAUGCAACAAAGCCCUACACCCCCAAUCCUGCACCCAAAGCCCUGCACCGAACAUCCUGCAACCAAAGCCAUGCAGGAAACCCCCACAGCCAAAUCCUGCACCAAACCAUGCAACAAAGCCCUACACCCCCAAUCCUGCACCCAAAGCCCUGCACCGAACAUCCUGCAACCAAAGCCAUGCAGGAAACCCCAAAGCCAAAGUCCUGCACCAAACCACACAGCAAAGCCC